Molecule: ribosomal RNA, 405 nt
Filed under: uncultured bacterium
Lineage: Bacteria
Description: bacterial SSU rRNA
Rfam family: Bacterial small subunit ribosomal RNA
Source: RNAcentral
AACGAACGCUGGCGGCGUGCCUAACACAUGCAAGUCGAGCGGGAAAGUUCCCUUCGGGGAGCGAGUACAGCGGCGAACGGGUGAGUAACACGUAGGUAACCUACCCUGGAGACUGGGAUAACCUGCCGAAAGGCGGGCUAAUACCAGAUAAGACCACGAGGGUUGCGGCCCUUGGGGCAAAAGAUGGCCUAUGCUUGCAAGCUAUCACUCCGGGAUGGGCCUGCGCGCCAUUAGCAGUUGGUGAGGUAACGGCUCACCAAGGCAGAGAUGGCUAGCUGGUCUGAGAGGAUGGCCAGCCACACUGGGACUGAGACACGGCCCAGACUCCUACGGGAGGCAGCAGUGGGGAAUAUUGCGCAAUGGGCGAAAGCCUGACGCAGCGACGCCGCGUGGGUGAUGAAGGCC